RNAcentral lists this unclassified non-coding RNA (348 nucleotides) under soil metagenome. Its description in RNAcentral is "partial contains 5.8S ribosomal RNA, internal transcribed spacer 2, and large subunit ribosomal RNA". The stretch from base 1 to 120 matches the Rfam family "5.8S ribosomal RNA", at positions 35 to 154 of the family's 154-position model. The record is from RNAcentral.
GAUGAAGAACGUAGCAAAAUGCGAUAAGUAAUGUAAAUUGCAGAAUUCAGUGAAUCAUCGAAUCUUUGAACGCACAUUGCGCCCGCUGGUAUUCCGGCGGGCAUGCCUGUUCGAGCGUCAUUUCAACCCUCAAGCCCCCGGGUUUGGUGUUGGGGAUCGGCUCUGCCCUUCUGGGCGGUGCCGCCCCCGAAAUACAUUGGCGGUCUCGCUGCAGCCUCCAUUGCGUAGUAGCUAACACCUCGCAACUGGAACGCGGCGCGGCCAUGCCGUAAAACCCCAACUUCUGAAUGUUGACCUCGGAUCAGGUAGGAAUACCCGCUGAACUUAAGCAUAUCAAUAAGCGGAGGA